UACUACUCUAUGUUUUAAUUGUUUUUGGCUGUGUCAAUCAGUUCUCAUAUUCAGGUUGUUUUAUGUUUCGUCUUUCAGUUUCAGUACCUAAUUAAUUAUUGUACCAUUGAAAUUUGAAAUAAAAAAGUUGUUUUCACGGCCGUUGUUUUCUUCAUUGAACGAUACGUACGAUUACGUACACGAUACGUGGUGAGCAGGCUACAAAUUUUUGUUUUAAAAAACUAUGGCUGGCACAGAUGACAAUAAACCUACAGAAAACGAAGUUGAAAAUAGCUUGGAAACUGAUGAUGAACUAAAUGAAAUAGUACGCGAAGAAUAUGACCAAUUGAAUGAAUUAGAUUCGAAACUAGAUGAGCUAAAUGAAGCAUUGGAUAUGUUGGAACAAAAAAAUGAUGAUAUACAUUCAAGAUUGCUAGAACUCUUGCAAUCUAAUAGAGAAGUAAGAGAGCAGUUAAAACAUCAACAAAAAGAAAAUAGCAAGUAAACUGAAAUGUACCUACCUAAUUAUAUCAGCUUAGGGGAAAUUUUCAGUUGGUAAUAAUGGAAAGAAAAACGUUUGGACCAGUCAAGGAAAAUUGCAUAAAUUGUAUAUCCAUCUCAAUAAGUGUCAUCCUAUCCAAAAUUAUUUCAAUUUGUUACAAACUAAAAUUAAUUAGUAAAAAUAAUAAAAAGCUGUACACUA
Maniola jurtina (meadow brown) is the source of this 682-nucleotide RNA transcript. It is a transcript of the gene named UPF0184 protein AAEL002161, with no coding region annotated. NCBI's taxonomy places the organism in Eukaryota, Metazoa, Arthropoda, Insecta, Lepidoptera, Nymphalidae. The record is from RefSeq and is a predicted model, not a curated record. The transcript has 3 exons.